RNAcentral lists this ribosomal RNA (516 nucleotides) under Cladosporium cucumerinum. RNAcentral's name for it is "eukaryotic LSU rRNA". The stretch from base 150 to 303 matches the Rfam family "5.8S ribosomal RNA". The record is from RNAcentral. Lineage: Eukaryota; Fungi; Ascomycota; Dothideomycetes; Cladosporiales; Cladosporiaceae.
GCACCCGGCUACGGCCGGGAUGUUCAUAACCCUUUGUUGUCCGACUCUGUUGCCUCCGGGGCGACCCUGCCUUCGGGCGGGGGCUCCGGGUGGACACUUCAAACUCUUGCGUAACUUUGCAGUCUGAGUAAACUUAAUUAAUAAAUUAAAACUUUUAACAACGGAUCUCUUGGUUCUGGCAUCGAUGAAGAACGCAGCGAAAUGCGAUAAGUAAUGUGAAUUGCAGAAUUCAGUGAAUCAUCGAAUCUUUGAACGCACAUUGCGCCCCCUGGUAUUCCGGGGGGCAUGCCUGUUCGAGCGUCAUUUCACCACUCAAGCCUCGCUUGGUAUUGGGCAACGCGGUCCGCCGCGUGCCUCAAAUCGUCCGGCUGGGUCUUCUGUCCCCUAAGCGUUGUGGAAACUAUUCGCUAAAGGGUGUUCGGGAGGCUACGCCGUAAAACAACCCCAUUUCUAAGGUUGACCUCGGAUCAGGUAGGGAUACCCGCUGAACUUAAGCAUAUCAAUAAGGCGGAGGAA